RNAcentral lists this transfer RNA (76 nucleotides) under Planctomycetaceae bacterium. RNAcentral's name for it is "tRNA-Ala". It matches the Rfam family "tRNA". From Rfam's summary of the family: Transfer RNA (tRNA) molecules are approximately 80 nucleotides in length. Their secondary structure includes four short double-helical elements and three loops (D, anti-codon, and T loops). Lineage: Bacteria; Pseudomonadati; Planctomycetota; Planctomycetia; Planctomycetales; Planctomycetaceae. The record is from RNAcentral.
GGGGCCGUAGCUCAUUUGGGAGAGCGCCGCGUUCGCAAUGCGGAGGUAGAGGGUUCGACCCCCUUCGGCUCCACCA